This 1210-nucleotide long non-coding RNA is filed under the name Triticum aestivum (bread wheat). RNAcentral's name for it is "long non-coding RNA (TAES_LNC013203)". Lineage: Eukaryota; Viridiplantae; Streptophyta; Magnoliopsida; Poales; Poaceae. The record is from RNAcentral.
CCAGCCAAGGAUCUCCAACAAGCAUGUGCGCCUACUCUCCUUGCCCUUAAUUCCUGCCACAACAGCAGCUCCUGUGUAGUGUGAGCCAGAGAACUACUACACUAAUCAUGUUCCUGGUAUUUUCUCACUCUUGCUUCACAGACGAUGUAUUGUAGUUAGUUCAAAGAAAUUCCAUUACAUAUUUUGCACAUUUCCUGAUUGGUGACCAUCCAUUUUAUAUGAUGUUCUUCACCUGCAAGCGUUGAGUGUUUUUUUCCUUUCAAGUUUUUGUCUCUUGCUCUAUUUCAUGAAAUACAUUCCUCUUCUCAUUCCAUCAUUUAGCCUUGUUGAUUACUUACGAUUAGUGAUUACAUGCAAUCAUCCGCCUUAAAUUAGAAUAGUUAAUUAGUUAUGCCAGGUUGCUACAUUUCUAUCUCCUUUUUGCCAAAAUAAAAUUAAAAUAUGAUGGCAUGUUAUUGACCCAGCCUCGCCGUCCGUUGUGGCAUCACCCUUCUUGUCCACCACCCUAACUCCGUCGCGCUUCAGGCCUAGCAUGUGACAGUGGUGCCGCGAGGAUUUGCUGACGUGGGAGGAGGGGCCCGACCCAGAUGGCGGCCACCAGUAGGUCACACACUUAUUCAGCUCGCCGUUUGGUUACUCUGAUGGCUUCUCUAAGGUAUCUUCUCGUGCAGCUUCACUCUUGCUUGUGUGUCUCGCGUGAAAAAGUAAGCUACCUGGCACUUGCUCUACUCUGCUUUAGCAGGCGCUCGCAGAGGAGGCCAAGGGAUACAUGAUACUGGUAAUUUACUAAUGAUCCAUCUUAGUGGAAUGCUUUUGUUGUAGAUAUUUUCAUUGGUUGUCCUUUCAUUUUAUUUAUAUUCAUGGCUGGAUGGUGCCUUCCACUAUGCUUCUUCACUGAAAAGGUGUUUCGCAUAUGUGUACUUGCUUGAGAAUGGAAUGAUCUCAGAAUUCUGUUGAAAACAAAACUUAGUUAUUUCAGCAUGCAUAGUGUUUGGCUAUAGAGAUUGAGUGCUUCACAUAUCCGAUGCCAUCUCGGAAUAAUCUCAGACCUGUUUAAAUAACUUAGUGUUUGGCUAAGGAGUCCACAUUGAACGCCACAUAUCCGAUGCCAACACACCGAGGUGAGCUUCAGCAAACUCUCUCUCUCUCUCUCUCCAAUCAGACAUGUGAAUAUUUACCAGAGUGCUUCAAGAUCGAUCUGACGAAANNN